AUUGAACGCUGGCGGCAGGCCUAACACAUGCAAGUCGAACGGUAACAGGAAGAAGCUUGCUUCUUUGCUGACGGGUGGCGGACGAGUGAGUAAUGUCUGGGAAACUGCCUGAUGGAGGGUGAUAACUACUGGACACGGUAGCUAAUACCGCAUAGUGUCGCAAGACCAAGGAGGGGGACCUUCGGGCCUCUUGCCAUCGCAUGUGCCCAGAUGGGAUUAGCUAGGAGGUGGGGUAACGGCUCACCUAGGCGACGAUCCCUAGCGGGUCUGAGAGGAUGACCAGCCACACUGGAACGGAGACAGGGUCAAGACGCCUACGGGAGGCAGCAGUGGGGAAUAUUGGACAAUGGGCGCAAGCCUGAUGCAGCUAGGCCGAGUGUGUGAAGAAGGCCUUCGGGUUGUAAAGUACUUUCAGCGGGGAGGAAGGGAGUAAAGUUAAUACCUUGGCUCAUUGACGUUACCCGCAGAAGAAGCACCGGCUAACUCCGUG
Molecule: ribosomal RNA, 490 nt
Filed under: uncultured bacterium
Lineage: Bacteria
Description: partial 16S ribosomal RNA
Rfam family: Bacterial small subunit ribosomal RNA
Source: RNAcentral